Molecule: ribosomal RNA, 379 nt
Filed under: uncultured organism
Description: partial 16S ribosomal RNA
Rfam family: Bacterial small subunit ribosomal RNA
Source: RNAcentral
CGGGGGGGGGGCAAGCGUUGUUCGGGAAUUACUGGGGCGUAAAGGGGCGCGCAGGCGGCCUGGCCAGUCCUACGUGAAAUCCCACAGCUCAACUGUGGAACUGCGUGGGAUACUGCCAGGCUUGAGUCCCGGGAGAGGAGAGUGGAAUUCCCAGUGUAGCGGUGAAAUGCGUAGAUAUUGGGAGGAACACCGGUGGCGAAGGCGGCUCUCUGGACCGGCACUGACGCUGAGGCGCGAAAGCUAGGGGAGCAAACGGGAUUAGAUACCCCGGUAGUCCUAGCCCUAAACGAUGAGCACUUUGUGUGGCGGGUAUCGACCCCUGCCGUGCAGAAGCUAACGCAUUAAGUGCUCCGCCUGGGGAGUACGGUCGCAAAGGCUG